RNAcentral lists this ribosomal RNA (468 nucleotides) under uncultured bacterium. RNAcentral's name for it is "partial 16S ribosomal RNA". It matches the Rfam family "Bacterial small subunit ribosomal RNA", at positions 28 to 507 of the family's 1533-position model. The record is from RNAcentral.
GACGAACGCUGGCGGCGUGCUUAACACAUGCAAGUCGAACGGAAAGGCCCUGCUUUUGUGGGGUGCUCGAGUGGCGAACGGGUGAGUAACACGUGAGUAACCUGCCCUUGACUUUGGGAUAACUUCAGGAAACUGGGGCUAAUACCGGAUAGGAGCUCCUGCUGCAUGGUGGGGGUUGGAAAGUUUCGGCGGUUGGGGAUGGACUCGCGGCUUAUCAGCUUGUUGGUGGGGUAGUGGCUUACCAAGGCUUUGACGGGUAGCCGGCCUGAGAGGGUGACCGGCCACAAUGGGACUGAGAUACGGCCCAGACGCCUACGGGAGGCAGCAGUGGGGAAUAUGGCACAAUGGGCGGAAGCCUGAUGCAGCAACGCCGCGUGCGGGAUGACGGCCUUCGGGUUGUAAACCGCUUUCGCCUGUGACGAAGCGUGAGUGACGGUAAUGGGUAAAGAAGCACCGGCUAACUACGUG